UCCUUCUUGACUUGUCAAUUGUCAUAAAUUCAACAGUUAGAUCAUAUUGACAUGUCAUUUAAACAUAUGCUAUUAAAUGAUUCAUUGUAAAACACUUUAUAAAUAUCAUUACACAUUGAUAAUAUGUGAUGCUAGGUAGGUAUUAGGAAGAAGAUAUUUUCAAAAUGAAAAAAGGCACAAAAUGCCUAAGUUCUUUAACGGGCAAGUUAGGGUAAAGAACUAACCCUAAACAAAAAACGCGAGGCAAAGCAAAACCUCACAUUUCAUUUCUCAUUCUCACAUUCUAGAAAAUUCUUGGCCGCUGACAUGAGGUAUGCACAGAUACUCCAUGGAGGUUUUGUAUGAGGCCCUGCUGAAAUUUCCAUGGUGUCCUCUGGAAAAUAAAGGCAUUUUUCAUAAAUCUCACGCUAGAAAGGCAACAUUUAGCUUGGAACUGGGAGCAAAAUAGAGCGAGGAAAGACACAAGUAGCUCAAAGCAGCAACAAUGCAAGACAACACACCCUGAACCAGUCAUUCCCAGACAAUGACUGGUCUCCCCCAUUAUAUGUACAUUUAUAUUUGUUUACUUAUUCAUAUAUAUGCCUUUUCUUCAUUUGCAUUGAAUAAACAAAGUUAGUCUCACGGCUUGUGUGAGACAAUGUACAUUUUUACAUUCAAUAAAGACUACUUUGUACAGAAAAGAUUUGCAUAAA
Long non-coding RNA from Cryptomeria japonica (Japanese cedar), 692 nucleotides. RefSeq lists it as uncharacterized. NCBI's taxonomy places the organism in Eukaryota, Viridiplantae, Streptophyta, Pinopsida, Cupressales, Cupressaceae. The record is from RefSeq and is a predicted model, not a curated record. The transcript is spliced from 2 exons.